Molecule: ribosomal RNA, 652 nt
Filed under: Rhabdodendron amazonicum
Lineage: Eukaryota; Viridiplantae; Streptophyta; Magnoliopsida; Caryophyllales; Rhabdodendraceae
Description: eukaryotic LSU rRNA
Rfam family: 5.8S ribosomal RNA (bases 233-386)
Source: RNAcentral
GUAACAAGGUUUCCGUAGGUGAACCUGCGGAAGGAUCAUUGUCGAAACCUGCCCCGGCAGAACGACCCGCGAACAUGUUGUAGCAUACGCGGGGAUCGGCCCCUCGGGGCCGCUCCCGGCACAACAACGAAACCCCGGCGUGAAAAGCGCCAAGGAACAGAAACGUGUCGCGUGCCUCCCCGCGCCCGGUUCGCCCGGAUCGCGGGGUCGCACCUGCCUUUACGAACACAACGACUCUCGGCAACGGAUAUCUCGGCUCUCGCAUCGAUGAAGAACGUAGCGAAAUGCGAUACUUGGUGUGAAUUGCAGAAUCCCGUGAACCAUCGAGUCUUUGAACGCAAGUUGCGCCCGAAGCUUCGGCCGAGGGCACGUCUGCCUGGGCGUCACGCAUAGCGUCUCCCCCGCACCUACCGCGCGAUGGGGAAGGAGGAUGGCCUCCCGUGCCUCACCGGGCGCGGUUCGCCUAAAGACGGAGCCCACGGCAUCGAGCCGCCGCGGCGAUUGGUGGAUUGAACGGCCCCGAGCCACGUCAAUUUGUAACGUCGCGUGCGAGCGAGGUGCCCGAGGGAGCUCGCUGGACCCCGAGCGCGAGCUCAUACCCUUGCGACCCCAGGUCAGGCGGGGCUACCCGCUGAGUUUAAACAUAUCAAUA